Molecule: non-coding RNA, 65 nt
Filed under: Synergistaceae bacterium
Lineage: Bacteria; Thermotogati; Synergistota; Synergistia; Synergistales; Synergistaceae
Source: RNAcentral
AAGCGAAACGGGGCUUCGGCCCCGUAAUCCGGAGGCGGUGCUCCGGGUCUGAAGAGCAGCCAAAA